This 396-nucleotide ribosomal RNA is filed under the name uncultured bacterium. Its description in RNAcentral is "partial 16S ribosomal RNA". It matches the Rfam family "Bacterial small subunit ribosomal RNA", at positions 355 to 767 of the family's 1533-position model. The record is from RNAcentral.
UGGGGGAUAUUGCACAAUGGAGGAAACUCUGGUGCAGCAACGCCGCGUGAAGGAUGAAGGUCUUCGGAUUGUAAACUUUUGUACUUGGGGACGAUAAUGACGGUACCCAAGCAGCAAGCUCCGGCUAACUACGUGCCAGCAGCCGCGGUAAUACGUAGGGAGCAAGCGUUGUCCGGAUUUACUGGGUGUAAAGGGUGCGUAGGCGGCUAUGCAAGUCAGUUGUGAAAACUAUGGGCUCAACCCAUAGCCUGCAAUUGAAACUGCGUGGCUUGAGUGAAGUAGAGGUAGGUGGAAUUCCCGGUGUAGCGGUGAAAUGCGUAGAGAUCGGGAGGAACACCAGUGGCGAAGGCGACCUACUGGGCUUUAACUGACGCUGAGGCACGAAAAGCAUGGGUA